GUGGGGAAUUUUGGACAAUGGGCGAAAGCCUGAUCCAGCCAUGCCGCGUGCAGGAUGAAGGCCUUCGGGUUGUAAACUGCUUUUGUACGGAACGAAAAGACUCUGGUUAAUACCUGGGGUCCAUGACGGUACCGUAAGAAUAAGCACCGGCUAACUACGUGCCAGCAGCCGCGGUAAUACGUAGGGUGCAAGCGUUAAUCGGAAUUACUGGGCGUAAAGCGUGCGCAGGCGGUUAUAUAAGACAGAUGUGGAAUCCCCGAGCUCAACCUGGGAACUGCAUUUGUGACUGUAUAGCUAGAGUACGGCAGAGGGGGAUGGAAUUCCGCGUGUAGCAGUGAAAUGCGUAGAUAUGCGGAGGAACACCGAUGGCGAAGGCAAUCCCCUGGGCCUGUACUGACGCUCAUGCACGAAAGCGUGGGGAGCAAACAGGAUUAGAUACCCUAGUAGUCC
This 450-nucleotide ribosomal RNA is filed under the name uncultured bacterium. Its description in RNAcentral is "partial 16S ribosomal RNA". It matches the Rfam family "Bacterial small subunit ribosomal RNA", at positions 354 to 796 of the family's 1533-position model. The record is from RNAcentral.